UGCCUACGGGUGGCAGCAGUAGGGAAUAUUGGACAAUGGGCGAAAGCCUGAUCCAGCAACGCCGCGUGCGCGAUGACGGCCUUCGGGUUGUAAAGCGCUUUUAGAGGAGAUGAGAAAGGACAGUAUCCUCUGAAUAAGCCUCGGCGAACUACGUGCCAGCAGCCGCGGUAAAACGUAGGAGGCUAGCGUUAUUCGGAUUUAUUGGGCGUAAAGCGCGUGCAGGCGGUCUAGCAAGUUGGAUGUGAAAGCUCCUGGCUCAACUGGGAGAGGUCGUUCAAUACUGUUAGACUAGAGAAUGGGAGAGGGAGGUGGAAUUCCGGGUGUAGUGGUGAAAUGCGUAGAUAUCCGGAGGAACACCAGUGGCGAAAGCGGCCUCCUGGACCAUUUCUGACGCUAAGACGCGAAAGCUAGGGUAGCAAACGGGAUUAGAUACCCUGGUAGUCG
Molecule: ribosomal RNA, 444 nt
Filed under: uncultured bacterium
Lineage: Bacteria
Description: bacterial SSU rRNA
Rfam family: Bacterial small subunit ribosomal RNA
Source: RNAcentral